CGAGAGUGUCACCACUCCCAACCCAUUGUUUACCUACCCGUCCACCGUGCUUCGGCAGGCAGUCCUGUGGGACAGGGCCUCGCCCCCGCCAGGGGGUGCCUGCCGCUGGCCAACCAAAAAUUCUAGCUGUUUUUGUAACAUCUGAGUCUUCCACAAAUAAACA
This 163-nucleotide unclassified non-coding RNA is filed under the name uncultured Dactylaria. RNAcentral describes it as "sequence contains ITS1". Lineage: Eukaryota; Fungi; Ascomycota; Orbiliomycetes; Orbiliales; Orbiliaceae. The record is from RNAcentral.